UACGGAGGGCGCAAGCGUUGUUCGGGAUCACUGGGCGUAAAGCGCGUGCAGGCGGCUUGGUAAGUCGGAUGUGAAAUCCCGGAGCUCAACUCCGGAACUGCACCCGAUACUGCCUCGCUAGAGUCCCGGAGAGGAUGGCGGAAUUUCCGGUGUAGAGGUGAAAUUCGUAGAUAUCGGAAGGAACACCAGCGGCGAAGGCGGCCAUCUGGACGGUGACUGACGCUCAGACGCGAAAGCGCGGGGAGCAAACAGG
Molecule: ribosomal RNA, 253 nt
Filed under: uncultured bacterium
Lineage: Bacteria
Description: partial 16S ribosomal RNA
Rfam family: Bacterial small subunit ribosomal RNA
Source: RNAcentral